UCGUCGGGAUAGCUCAGCUGGUAGAGCAGAGGACUGAAAAUCCUCGUGUCACCAGUCAAA
This 60-nucleotide transfer RNA is filed under the name Loxonia hirsuta. RNAcentral describes it as "partial transfer RNA-Phe". It matches the Rfam family "tRNA", at positions 1 to 57 of the family's 71-position model. Rfam says of the family: Transfer RNA (tRNA) molecules are approximately 80 nucleotides in length. Their secondary structure includes four short double-helical elements and three loops (D, anti-codon, and T loops). Further hydrogen bonds mediate the characteristic L-shaped molecular structure. tRNAs have two regions of fundamental functional importance: the anti-codon, which is responsible for specific mRNA codon recognition, and the 3' end, to which the tRNAs corresponding amino acid is attached (by aminoacyl-tRNA synthetases). tRNAs cope with the degeneracy of the genetic code in two manners: having more than one tRNA (with a specific anti-codon) for a particular amino acid; and 'wobble' base-pairing, i.e. permitting non-standard base-pairing at the 3rd anti-codon position. Lineage: Eukaryota; Viridiplantae; Streptophyta; Magnoliopsida; Lamiales; Gesneriaceae. The record is from RNAcentral.